Molecule: ribosomal RNA, 253 nt
Filed under: uncultured bacterium
Lineage: Bacteria
Description: partial 16S ribosomal RNA
Rfam family: Bacterial small subunit ribosomal RNA
Source: RNAcentral
AACGUAGGUACCGAGCGUUAUCCGGAUUUACUGGGCGUAAAGCGCGUUCAGGCGGUAUGCCAAGUCGGGCAUGAAAUCGCUCGGCUCAACCGGGCGAGGUUGUCCGAUACUGGCAGACUGGAGGGCAGUAGAGGGUGGUGGAAUUCCGGGUGUAGUGGUGAAAUGCGUAGAGAUCCGGAGGAACACCAGUGGCGCAAGCGGCCACCUGGACUGUACCUGACGCUGAAACGCGAAAGCUAGGGGAGCGAACGGG